CCUACGGGUGGCAGCAGUGGGGAAUAUUGGACAAUGGGGGCAACCCUGAUCCAGCCAUGCCGCGUGUGUGAAGAAGGCCCUCGGGUUGUAAAGCACUUUCAGUGAGGAAGAACGCCUGGUGGUUAAUACCCAUCAGGAAAGACAUCACUCACAGAAGAAGCACCGGCUAACUCCGUGCCAGCAGCCGCGGUAAUACGGAGGGUGCGAGCGUUAAUCGGAAUUACUGGGCGUAAAGCGCGCGUAGGUGGCUUGAUAAGCCGGUAGUGAAAGCCCCGGGCUCAACCUGGGAACGGCAUCCGGAACUGUCAAGCUAGAGUGCAGGAGAGGAAGGUAGAAUUCCCGGUGUAGCGGUGAAAUGCGUAGAGAUCGGGAGGAAUACCAGUGGCGAAGGCGGCCUUCUGGACUGACACUGACACUGAGGUGCGAAAGCGUGGGUAGCAAACAGGAUUAGAUACCCCGGUAGUC
This 465-nucleotide ribosomal RNA is filed under the name Vreelandella stevensii. Its description in RNAcentral is "partial 16S ribosomal RNA". It matches the Rfam family "Bacterial small subunit ribosomal RNA", at positions 338 to 795 of the family's 1533-position model. The record is from RNAcentral. Lineage: Bacteria; Pseudomonadati; Pseudomonadota; Gammaproteobacteria; Oceanospirillales; Halomonadaceae.